UACGUAGGGGGCAAGCGUUGUCCGGCAUUAUUGGGCGUAAAGCGCGUGUAGGCGGCCAGAUAAGUCCGCUGUGAAAUCUCGAGGCUCAACUUCGAGCUGUCGGUGGAAACUGUCUGGCUAGAGUCCGGAAGAGGAGAAUGGAAUUCCUGGUGUAGCGGUGAAAUGCGCAGAUAUCAGGAAGAACACCCGUGGCGAAGGCGGUUCUCUGGGACGGUACUGACGCUGAGACGCGAAAGCGUGGGGAGCGAACAGG
Molecule: ribosomal RNA, 253 nt
Filed under: uncultured bacterium
Lineage: Bacteria
Description: partial 16S ribosomal RNA
Rfam family: Bacterial small subunit ribosomal RNA
Source: RNAcentral